AUACGGAGGAUCCGAGCGUUAUCCGGAUUUAUUGGGUUUAAAGGGAGCGUAGGCGGACGCUUAAGUCAGUUGUGAAAGUUUGCGGCUCAACCGUAAAAUUGCAGUUGAUACUGGGUGUCUUGAGUACAGUAGAGGCAGGCGGAAUUCGUGGUGUAGCGGUGAAAUGCUUAGAUAUCACGAAGAACUCCGAUUGCGAAGGCAGCCUGCUGGACCGUAACUGACGCUGAUGCUCGAAAGUGUGGGUAUCAAACAGGAUUAGAUACCCUGGUAGUCCACACAGUAAACGAUGAAUACUCGCUGUUUGCGAUAUACAGUAAGCGGCCAAGCGAAAGCGUUAAGUAAUCCACCUGGGGAGUACGUUCGCAAGAAUGAAACUCAAAGGAAUUGACGGGG
Molecule: ribosomal RNA, 393 nt
Filed under: uncultured bacterium
Lineage: Bacteria
Description: partial 16S ribosomal RNA
Rfam family: Bacterial small subunit ribosomal RNA
Source: RNAcentral